GAUGAACGCUGGCGGCGUGCCUAAUACAUGCAAGUCGAGCGAACGGACGAGAAGCUUGCUUCUCUGAUGUUAGCGGCGGACGGGUGAGUAACACGUGGAUAACCUACCUAUAAGACUGGGAUAACUUCGGGAAACCGGAGCUAAUACCGGAUAAUAUUUUGAACCGCAUGGUUCAAAAGUGAAGGACGGUCUUGCUGUCACUUAUAGAUGGAUCCGCGCUGCAUUAGCUAGUUGGUAAGGUAACGGCUUACCAAGGCAACGAUGCAUAGCCGACCUGAGAGGGUGAUCGGCCACACUGGAACUGAGACACGGUCCAGACUCCUACGGGAGGCAGCAGUAGGGAAUCUUCCGCAAUGGGCGAAAGCCUGACGGAGCAACGCCGCGUGAGUGAUGAAGGUCUUCGGAUCGUAAAACUCUGUUAUUAGGGAAGAACAUAAGUGUAAGUAACUGUGCACAUCUUGACGGUACCUAAUCAGAAAGCCACGGCUAACUACGUG
Molecule: ribosomal RNA, 497 nt
Filed under: uncultured bacterium
Lineage: Bacteria
Description: partial 16S ribosomal RNA
Rfam family: Bacterial small subunit ribosomal RNA
Source: RNAcentral